This 253-nucleotide ribosomal RNA is filed under the name uncultured bacterium. Its description in RNAcentral is "partial 16S ribosomal RNA". It matches the Rfam family "Bacterial small subunit ribosomal RNA", at positions 524 to 776 of the family's 1533-position model. The record is from RNAcentral.
UACGUAGGUGACCAGCGUUGUCCGGAUUUACUGGGCUUAAAGGGCGCGUAGGCGGCUCGCCAGGUCGGGGGUGAAAUCCCACAGCUCAACUGUGGAAGUGCCUUCGAUACCGGCGGGCUCGAGGAAGGUAGGGGUGCGCGGAACUUCUGGUGGAGCGGUGAAAUGCGUUGAUAUCAGAAGGAACGCCGGCGGCGAAAGCGGCGCACUGGACCUUUUCUGACGCUGAGGCGCGAAAGCCAGGGGAGCAAACGGG